RNAcentral lists this ribosomal RNA (497 nucleotides) under uncultured bacterium. RNAcentral's name for it is "partial 16S ribosomal RNA". It matches the Rfam family "Bacterial small subunit ribosomal RNA", at positions 28 to 507 of the family's 1533-position model. The record is from RNAcentral.
GAUGAACGCUGGCGGCGUGCCUAAUACAUGCAAGUCGAGCGAACGGACGAGAAGCUUGCUUCUCUGAUGUUAGCGGCGGACGGGUGAGUAACACGUGGAUAACCUCCCUAUAAGACUGGGAUAACUUCGGGAAACCGGAGCUAAUACCGGAUAAUAUUUUGAACCGCAUGGUUCAAUAGUGAAAGACGGUCUUGCUGUCACUUAUAGAUGGAUCCGCGCUGCAUUAGCUAGUUGGUAAGGUAACGGCUUACCAAGGCAACGAUGCAUAGCCGACCUGAGAGGGUGAUCGGCCACACGGGAACUGAGACACGGUCCAGACUCCUACGGGAGGCAGCAGUAGGGAAUCUUCCGCAAUGGGCGAAAGCCUGACGGAGCAACGCCGCGUGAGUGAUGAAGGUCUUCGGAUCGUAAAACUCUGUUAUUAGGGAAGAACAUAUGUGUAAGUAACUGUGCACAUCUUGACGGUACCUAAUCAGAAAGCCACGGCUAACUACGUG